Non-coding RNA from Sesamum indicum (sesame), 740 nucleotides. Lineage: Eukaryota; Viridiplantae; Streptophyta; Magnoliopsida; Lamiales; Pedaliaceae. The record is from RefSeq and is a predicted model, not a curated record.
CCCCCCAGCCACUAAGUUAUUUGUGCAUCCCAAUAUCAAAGUUCUUUUUUCUGCCCCUGGUCAUGGCAAGGAAUUUGAUUCAAGGACACUGGAAGACUGGGUGAGAAAGAAUCAAGCCGAUGAAAUUUACAUGUUUUCAUCUCAAAUACUCGAAAUCGUUCGAGUUCUGGAGCUGGCCAACAGUCUAUAUCCACCAUCAUGUACUUCACUACAGGGUUUACUUUUGUCAACCAUGAGGAGAUAAAUGAAUACAGAUACAGAAGAAAAGUUUCAAAAGAAAAUUUUGAAUGAACGGAUAGCCUAGUUAUUAGGCGGUAUAGCAAUUCUUGAGCUAUAUUUCACCUCUUGACAUUGGCAUUUUGCACGUCCAGACACUCAGGAGUAAACUUAUUCUCUGCUGCAUCAUAUUUCACUAUAAGUGGGAGCACAAACAGUCAUUGAGUUAAAGGAUGAACAGCUGAAGAUGCACUAUAUGCAACUGUGGUAGCUGAUUCUGUUUCUGCUCCAUAGAUAUUGAUUGAGAAUGCUUCUAUUCUGUGUUUCUAUCCACCUUUUAUGAGGCAAAAAUCGAGGAAGGAAUGCACAGUUGGUCAAGGUUAUUGCCUCCUAAGGCUGUCUGAAAAAGAUCGAUAGUAUUCAAGUAGGUUUGGACAACAUAGAUGGUUACUGUCUGUUUUUCCUUGUACAAGUAUAUGUCAAAUUCAAUUUUAAGUCUUCAUAAAAUCCAGAGCUAUUUCUGA